This 720-nucleotide ribosomal RNA is filed under the name Bacillus mojavensis. Its description in RNAcentral is "bacterial SSU rRNA". It matches the Rfam family "Bacterial small subunit ribosomal RNA", at positions 555 to 1276 of the family's 1533-position model. The record is from RNAcentral. Lineage: Bacteria; Bacillati; Bacillota; Bacilli; Caryophanales; Bacillaceae.
UGGGCGUAAGGGCUCGCAGGCGGUUUUUUAAGUCUGAUGUGAAAGCCCCCGGCUCAACCGGGGAGGGUCAUUGGAAACUGGGGAACUUGAGUGCAGAAGAGGAGAGUGGAAUUCCACGUGUAGCGGUGAAAUGCGUAGAGAUGUGGAGGAACACCAGUGGCGAAGGCGACUCUCUGGUCUGUAACUGACGCUGAGGAGCGAAAGCGUGGGGAGCGAACAGGAUUAGAUACCCUGGUAGUCCACGCCGUAAACGAUGAGUGCUAAGUGUUAGGGGGUUUCCGCCCCUUAGUGCUGCAGCUAACGCAUUAAGCACUCCGCCUGGGGAGUACGGUCGCAAGACUGAAACUCAAAGGAAUUGACGGGGGCCCGCACAAGCGGUGGAGCAUGUGGUUUAAUUCGAAGCAACGCGAAGAACCUUACCAGGUCUUGACAUCCUCUGACAAUCCUAGAGAUAGGACGUCCCCUUCGGGGGCAGAGUGACAGGUGGUGCAUGGUUGUCGUCAGCUCGUGUCGUGAGAUGUUGGGUUAAGUCCCGCAACGAGCGCAACCCUUGAUCUUAGUUGCCAGCAUUCAGUUGGGCACUCUAAGGUGACUGCCGGUGACAAACCGGAGGAAGGUGGGGAUGACGUCAAAUCAUCAUGCCCCUUAUGACCUGGGCUACACACGUGCUACAAUGGACAGAACAAAGGGCAGCGAAACCGCGAGGUUAAGCCAAUCCCA